Molecule: long non-coding RNA, 421 nt
Filed under: Ananas comosus (pineapple)
Lineage: Eukaryota; Viridiplantae; Streptophyta; Magnoliopsida; Poales; Bromeliaceae
Description: long non-coding RNA (ACOM_LNC016693)
Source: RNAcentral
AUAGAUUAAUAUAGUAUUUAAUUAAUAUAUUAUAAAUUAUUUUAUUAUUUAUAAAUUAUAAUUUAUUUUAUAAUUUAUUUUAAUUUAUAAUUAUUUUAUAAAUUAAUAUAGUAUUUAAUUAAUAUAUUAUAAAUUAUUUUAUUAAUUUAUUGAGUAGUUUUUCUUUUCUAUACAAGUAGUCAAUAUUGUCAUAGGUAUGACAUCAAUUGGACCUUCAAUUUGGAAGAGAUAAGAUUAUGCAUCCUCUCUAGAUUUGGAAGAAUGCUAUAAUCUUGGUAAAUGAUAAAAUUUUUUAAAUUAUUUAAUUUGUUAUUUUAUAAUAUAAUUAAUUUCAUACUGCUUUGUUUAUUCUUUAUUUUUUUACACUUUAUUUAUUUAUUUCUCCAUGCUUAUGUGACAGAAGAUCAUAUCGACAGUGUUU